UACGGUGAAUACGUUCCCGGACCUUGCACACUUUUUUUUUUUUUUUUUUUUUUUUUUUUUUUACCGCCCGUCAAGCCAUGGAAGCCGGGUGUACCUAAAGUCGGUAACCGUAAGGAGCCGCCUAGGGUAAAACUGGUGACUGGGGCU
RNAcentral lists this ribosomal RNA (147 nucleotides) under uncultured bacterium. Its description in RNAcentral is "partial 16S ribosomal RNA". The stretch from base 63 to 147 matches the Rfam family "Bacterial small subunit ribosomal RNA", at positions 1389 to 1482 of the family's 1533-position model. The record is from RNAcentral.